This 529-nucleotide ribosomal RNA is filed under the name uncultured bacterium. RNAcentral describes it as "partial 16S ribosomal RNA". It matches the Rfam family "Bacterial small subunit ribosomal RNA", at positions 355 to 899 of the family's 1533-position model. The record is from RNAcentral.
UGGGGAAUAUUGCACAAUGGGCGAAAGCCUGAUGCAGCAACGCCGCGUGAGUGAUGAAGGCCUUCGGGUUGUAAAGCUCUGUCUUUUGGGACGAUAAUGACGGUACCAAAGGAGGAAGCCACGGCUAACUACGUGCCAGCAGCCGCGGUAAUACGUAGGUGGCAAGCGUUGUCCGGAUUUACUGGGCGUAAAGGAUGCGUAGGCGGAUUUUUAAGUGAGACGUGAAAACCCUAAGCUUAACUUGGGGACUGCAUUUCAUACUGGAAAUCUAGAGUGCGGGAGAGGAGAAUGGAAUUCCUAGUGUAGCGGUGAAAUGCGUAGAGAUUAGGAAGAACACCAGUGGCGAAGGCGAUUCUCUGGACCGUAACUGACGCUGAGGCAUGAAAGCGUGGGUAGCAAACAGGAUUAGAUACCCCUGGUAGUCCACGCCGUAAACGAUGAGUACUAGGUGUAGGAGGUAUCGACCCCUUCUGUGCCGCAGUUAACACAAUAAGUACUCCGCCUGGGAAGUACGAUCGCAAGAUUAAAA